RNAcentral lists this ribosomal RNA (404 nucleotides) under uncultured bacterium. Its description in RNAcentral is "bacterial SSU rRNA". It matches the Rfam family "Bacterial small subunit ribosomal RNA", at positions 976 to 1380 of the family's 1533-position model. The record is from RNAcentral.
AGGUCUUGACAUCCCGAUGCCCGCUCUAGAGAUAGAGUUUUACGUUUAGUACAUCGGUGACAGGUGGUGCAUGGUUGUCGUCAGCUCGUGUCGUGAGAUGUUGGGUUAAGUCCCGCAACGAGCGCAACCCCUAUUGUUAGUUGCCAUCAUUGAGUUGGGCACUCUAGCGAGACUGCCGGUAAUAAACCGGAGGAAGGUGGGGAUGACGUCAAAUCAUCAUGCCCCUUAUGACCUGGGCUACACACGUGCUACAAUGGCUGGUACAACGAGUCGCGAGUCGGUGACGGCAAGCAAAUCUCUUAAAGCCAGUCUCAGUUCGGAUUGUAGGCUGCAACUCGCCUACAUGAAGUCGGAAUCGCUAGUAAUCGCGGAUCAGCACGCCGCGGUGAAUACGUUCCCGGGCC